RNAcentral lists this ribosomal RNA (253 nucleotides) under uncultured bacterium. RNAcentral's name for it is "partial 16S ribosomal RNA". It matches the Rfam family "Bacterial small subunit ribosomal RNA", at positions 524 to 776 of the family's 1533-position model. The record is from RNAcentral.
UACGUAGGGAGCAAGCGUUGUCCGGAAUCAUUGGGCGUAAAGCGCGCGUAGGUGGCUUCGUAAGUCCGUUGUGAAAGUCAAAGGCUCAACCUUUGAAAGCCGAUGGAUACUGUCGAGCUAGAGUCCGGAAGAGGCGAGUGGAAUUCCUGGUGUAGCGGUGGAAUGCGCAGAUAUCAGGAGGAACACCAACGGCGAAGGCAGCUCGCUGGGACGGUACUGACGCUAAGGCGCGAAAGCGUGGGGAGCGAACAGG